AUGAACGCUGGCGGCGUGCCUAAUACAUGCAAGUCGAGCGAACGGACGAGAAGCUUGCUUCUCUGAUGUUAGCGGCGGACGGGUGAGUAACACGUGGAUAACCUACCUAUAAGACUGGGAUAACUUCGGGAAACCGGAGCUAAUACCGGAUAAUAUUUUGAACCGCAUGGUUCAAAAGUGAAAGUCGGUCUUGCUGUCACUUAUAGAUGGAUCCGCGCUGCAUUAGCUAGUUGGUAAGGUAACGGCUUACCAAGGCAACGAUGCAUAGCCGACCUGAGAGGGUGAUCGGCCACACUGGAACUGAGACACGGUCCAGACUCCUACGGGAGGCAGCAGUAGGGAAUCUUCCGCAAUGGGCGAAAGCCUGACGGAGCAACGCCGCGUGAGUGAUGAAGGUCUUCGGAUCGUAAAACUCUGUUAUUAGGGAAGAACAUAUGUGUAAGUAACUGUGCACAUCUUGACGGUACCUAAUCAGAAAGCCACGGCUAACUACGUG
RNAcentral lists this ribosomal RNA (496 nucleotides) under uncultured bacterium. RNAcentral's name for it is "partial 16S ribosomal RNA". It matches the Rfam family "Bacterial small subunit ribosomal RNA", at positions 29 to 507 of the family's 1533-position model. The record is from RNAcentral.